This is a small nucleolar RNA of Vulpes vulpes (red fox), 132 nucleotides long. Its record names the gene SNORA72. It matches the Rfam family "Small nucleolar RNA SNORA72". Rfam says of the family: U72 is a member of the H/ACA class of snoRNAs. The snoRNA gene is located in intron 4 of the ribosomal L30 protein gene in human, mouse and chicken. Lineage: Eukaryota; Metazoa; Chordata; Mammalia; Carnivora; Canidae. The record is from Ensembl.
CCACGAAUAAUCUCACUGUUCUGAUUUUGUAAUAAUCAGAGCAGGCUAAACAUUUGCUAUAUUAAGACCAUGCAUGUGUCCCCAGACUUAGUUCCUUCCCUAGGUCUGGUUUUAUCAGUGCUGGUGAUGGAC